CAAGUCGAACGAUGAAGUUCCUUCGGGAAUGGAUUAGUGGCGAACGGGUGAGGAACACGUGAGAAACCUGCCUUUCAUUCUGGGAUAACACCGGGAAACCGGUGCUAAUACCGGAUACUCCAUCUUGGCGGCAUCGCCGAGCUGGGAAAAAAUUUUGAUGAAAGAUGGUCUCGCGGCCUAUCAGCUAGUUGGUGAGGUAAAGGCUCACCAAGGCGACGACGGGUAGCCGGCCUGAGAGGGCGACCGGCCACACUGGGACUGAGACACGGCCCAGACUCCUACGGGAGGCAGCAGUAGGGAAUAUUGGGCAAUGGGCGAAAGCCUGACCCAGCGACGCCGCGUGAGGGAUGAAGGUCUUCGGAUUGUAAACCUCUUUCAGUAGGGAAGAAGCGAAAGUGACGGUACCUAAAGAAGAAGCACCGGCUAACUAUGUGCCAGCAGCCGCGGUAAUACAUAGGGUGCAAGCGUUGUCCGGAAUUAUUGGGCGUAAAGAGCUCGUAGGUCGUUUGUCGCGUCGAUUGUGAAAAUCUGAGGCUCAACCUCAGACCUGCAGUCGAUACGGGCAAACUAGAGUGUGGUAGGGGAGACUGGAAUUCCUGGUGUAGCGGUGGAAUGCGCAGAUAUCAGGAGGAACACCAAUGGCGAAGGCAGGUCUCUGGGCCAUAACUGACACUGAGGAGCGAAAGUGCGGGGAGCGAACAGGAUUAGAUACCCUGGUAGUCCGCACCGUAAACGGUGGGCACUAGUUGUGGGAACCUUCCACGGUUUCCGCGACGCAGCAAACGCAUUAAGUGCCCCGCCUGGGGAGUACGAUCGCAAGAUUAAAACUCAAAGGAAUUGACGG
RNAcentral lists this ribosomal RNA (844 nucleotides) under uncultured bacterium. RNAcentral describes it as "bacterial SSU rRNA". It matches the Rfam family "Bacterial small subunit ribosomal RNA", at positions 58 to 916 of the family's 1533-position model. The record is from RNAcentral.